UUAACCGAAACCAAAAAGAGGUAUAUUAUUGUUAAUAAUAAAAAUGAAUUAAUAAUUCCGGUUAAG
This 66-nucleotide transfer RNA is filed under the name Macrotermes gilvus. Its description in RNAcentral is "tRNA-Asn". The record is from RNAcentral. RNAcentral also lists the same sequence under 1 other name. Lineage: Eukaryota; Metazoa; Arthropoda; Insecta; Blattodea; Termitidae.